RNAcentral lists this ribosomal RNA (645 nucleotides) under Hypocryphalus mangiferae. Its description in RNAcentral is "eukaryotic LSU rRNA". It matches the Rfam family "Eukaryotic large subunit ribosomal RNA", at positions 406 to 804 of the family's 3401-position model. The record is from RNAcentral. Lineage: Eukaryota; Metazoa; Arthropoda; Insecta; Coleoptera; Curculionidae.
CGUUUAGGGGUAAACCUGAGAAACCCGAAAGGUCGAAGGGAGAAAUUCAUUCGCGUUUCGAGGCAGGCGUUGAGUAAUUGUUUGUGACGGGAGAGGCUGUAUUUCAGCAACUACCGCACCAAUUACUCUUCGGACCAGUCCCGAACGCGUGCACUUUUCUCCUGGUAGGACGUCGCGAUCCGUUGGGUGUCGGUCUAAGAUUUGCGGUGGAGACCAUUCGUUUCUUGUAAAUGGAUGGACCCGUAUUUUCCGGCCGACUCGCUCGACGGUAUAUGAACGGUUUGGGGCCGCUUUCAGAGCGUUCGACCCGCAACAAGCGCACCAAAUGUGUUGGCGAUNGGACCUAGUGCCGGUUCUAACCUUUGGUGUCCGUUGGUUGUGGUGUUCUCGAACAGACCUCAUUCAAAUUGAACCGAUCAGCGACGGUGUAGCAUUGGGUACUUUCAGGACCCGUCUUGAAACACGGACCAAGGAGUCUAGCAUGUGCGCGAGUCAUUGGGAAUUACUAAACCUAAAGGCGUAAUGAAAGUGAAGAUCUUCCUUGCGAAGAUCGAGGGAAGACAGGUGGUUGGCCCUUAAAAGCGGCCGCCUAGCACUCCCGGGGUGUCUCAUUCUCAUUGCGAGAAGAGGCGCACCAAGAGCNNA